Non-coding RNA from Pelobates cultripes (western spadefoot toad), 313 nucleotides. The record is from the annotation of a GenBank genome assembly. Lineage: Eukaryota; Metazoa; Chordata; Amphibia; Anura; Pelobatidae.
AUUUAAAUAGUUACUAUAACACUAUUGACUGAAGUGGUCAUGGUGGUUCGAGUGUUCCUUUAAGUGACUUCAACUGUCGAAUAAUUGUUGGUGCCAAAUGUGUAAUAUUUCAGAAACUGCUGAUCUCAUAUGAUUUUCACACUCCAGUCUGUAGAGUUUAAUGCAACAAAAAAAAUGUAACGAGUUUGCGGCGCUUGUGGGUUUUUCAGCACCCUCUUCAAUCCAUUUUUUUUUUUUAAAUCUAGUUUUUCUGGGGUAAAAAGCGUUUACUACCCAGCUUAAGUGUUUUGCAGCUCCUUCUACUAAAAGUUAG